UUUUUUUUCUUUUUCUUUUUUCUUUUUCCUUUUCUUAGCAAUAUUUCUGGUUGUUUCUAAAAAAAUUGUUGGCAGUGCUAGGGAUGGGACUCUGAGCCUGGUACUCAGUAGUAGGUAAGUACUAAACAAUUGUGCUCCAUCGCCAAGGCCUCUGUCCUGCUCUUGAAAUUCCAGUAAUUGCCAGCUAACAAAUACAGUUACCAUAUGAAGUCCGCACUCGUCCGUGUUAAAUGGGUGAUUAUAUCAGGCUUCGGAGGCAGGUACUAUGAACUCAGAAAAAUUGGAAUGUGGAGGACAUCAGCUUCGUGUGGUUUCGAAUGUUGAGAAUCAUUUUCUGUAUGCAUUCAUAUUUCUUCCAGAGACUGCACUGUUAUUUAGUUCAAAAUGUCACACGACAGCAGAUAUCUUUGGUUUAUAUAAUCCAGGCAAUUAUGGUGUGAAUUCUGCUGUUGGUGGUAGUUAAAGCCUGUGUAUCUAACUCCUUUUUUAGCCUCUGAUUUUUUAAAAAAAAAUCAAUUUAACUCAUCCUUUUAUUUUAAAAACUUGAAUUUGAAUGGGUUCCAUUAACAGAUAUUUUUAAAUGACAAUCAAGUCUAGGGUACUGCUAGCUCCGAGCUGAACACAAUCCCCAGCCCUUAAGCUGGAUAGGAAAUCAAUUUCAGGCUGGUUGCAACUGCAAUGCGGAGCUAUAGCUGACUUGUAAACAGCCCUUGUAUCAACAAAUCACAGUUGACAAGCCACAGUGAAGUGUGUGAUCUUGCUAUCUAAAUGGCUGCCCUGAUUGCAAGUCCACGUGGAGUGCAUCUCCCAGGGCCAUGGAGGAUAAUUAAAGCCACCAUUGGUAGAUGAUUCCAGAUUACCUCAUUACAGAAAACUUAGGCCUGCCUUCAUUCAUUUCACGGAAAGGCAAAUGGCCAUUCAGUUUACCCCAAACUAUAUUAUUUUCUUUCCUUUUUAGUUGGAAUAUACAAGUGAAUAUCAAAUUAUAAACACAACUAGAAGCCAUUCUCCUUUUUAAUGAAUUCACUGUGGGGUCAUGCUUGUCAUUCUUGGGUGUACUGUCACUGAGUUUCUUGUGAUCUGUAGCCUCUUCCUUGUUUGUCCUGAUGCUAGGGAUUGGUAGGUGAUUCCUGUCAGCCUUUUGUUUCCCAGAGUGGCUAGAAUGUAUCCUGUGGUUGUAGAAUGAGCAUGCUUAGUAUUCCUCUGGCUUAAUUGAAUUUAAUACAUGAUCCUUAAAACUAACUUGUAGGUCUGGAGUUAUUAAAUGCUUUACUCUUUAACAGCAUAUACUUUAUCUGCCGUGGCCCGAGCUAGUGAAUGAUUUAAAUAAAGAGGGAGCUUCUUUCUUACCAAGCUGGUGCCACUUUCAUUUUCAUAUUGCUGCUGAGUACAGGUAAGAAGGCCGUGGGCAUCCAAAGGUCUACUCUAUAUGGCUGUGUACCAGGCUAGACUGGAGGCAGAGAAGCUUAGCUGGGCAUGGGUAGGUGAUGUUGGUCAGCAGUGAGUACAUGGGCAAAGAACACACACCCGAGAACAGCUUCGGAGAACUGGUUCAGUUUAUUGCGGAGAAUAAAAGCUAUUUAAACUUUUGGGCUGUGAGUAGGGGCUACUGGGGUCAAUGUACAUCAUUGGCCAGGGUGCUGGGAAUGCCUCAUUUGCAUGAAGAGCAAUUCCAGAUGAUGCUGGACAUGACCUUAUAAAGGGAAAGGAAGUUUAAUCUGGCUAUAGGCUAUAUGACCUCCUCCAGUGGGCAAAGGUUGGGGACACAGGGUUGUGUGCACCAGGACAUGCAGAUCCCAUGUAGGGGCAGAAUGACCAUACUCUUGUUGAUCUCAAGAUAAAAUUUCAGAGGUUCGGACAUGCCUCCAGGCCUGCAGCUCCUUAACCCUACAUAUGAUCACUAGGUGUUAUAUUUGAAUGUAUUGUAUGGGGCUCUCAUACUUGCUACCUGGUCCAGUUUCAUUUUAAGCCUUCAGUUUUUAUGAAGGUUGACAAUGAUGUUUAGAUAUUGGUUCAAAAAAGAGCAAAUUAGCAUGUGAUAUUUUCAUGUUGUUGAUUUCUAAUCAUUUGCAUUUUAGAAUUUAUUCUUGUUGACACAUUUUUCUAUUUCAACUUUAGUUUCUUUAACACUAAAAUUUAAUAGUGUAGUUAAAUAGUGUCUGCUUUUCAGAAUAAGGACAAAGGUUGCCAAAAGUGUACGUUGUGGUAAAAGUACCCAUUACAAGCUGUCUGACCUAAGUUCAAUUCCCACUACUCACGUUGUGGAAGCAGAGAACUAGUUCCUGACACCCACUUUUGUAUACACAACACACACACACACACACACACACAUACACACACACACACGCAUGCAUGCACGAACAUGUAUGUGCACUAAAGAAAAAUGAAAUUUUAAAAUGUACAGAUUAUUUUUGAUAGCUCAGGUGAACAGGACCAAAAUAUUGUAUUUAUAUUUCAGUGCACAUUGGUCACCCGCACCUUAAUUUGAUAGUAUGAAAUGUUUUUGAGCUGUUAAACUAUGUAAGAGUAUGUAUGACAAUAUAGCCUAUAUCUAGCCGUUUGCUACUUACAUUUAUCAAACUGUUACCACAUUGUUGACACAUUUUAAAAGUAAAUAAGUAGACUUACAGUUUCAAGACAGAGAUGUAGAGAGCUGGACACAGGUCCCGCCACACUCCAAUAAGAUUGAGACUGGUAAUUAACAAGAGAACCAAGUUCACAGAGAAAAUGGCCAUUUUAAAAUCUGGAGCUCAGUAGGUGCUUUCUGAGACAUGAGACAGGACCUGACCAUUUGCUACAGGGGCAGAAGCCUUCAGAUGCCCUAGAAGUAGAUAGGAAGAGUAAAUUAGAAACUAUAACACAUUGCUGGGGCAGGGGGAGGUGUGGGCUGGCUGUCUCUCCUGGGGGAAGGGUUCUACUCGUUCACAGACUUUUCUGCAGGAACCUCACCUGGAGUCAUAGGAGGACCAGUGAGAAAACACAGAAAGCUCACAGUGCUGGCUUGGGAACCAUGGAGAAAUCCAUUCCCCCUUAGGAGAAAAAAAAAAAAAAAAAAAAAAAACAAGAGGUACCUAGCACUGCUCGGAACAGCCCGAGGACAGACAGCAAUGGCCAAGGCAUGACCAAGGUUGGAUUUCCAGGUAUGACAUGAGUGCUUUUGAAGGUACAAGUGUCAGGGACACAUGCUGGCAAGAGCAGCCUUACAUUUGUGUCACUGUCCUGGCUAAUCUUAGGAGGAAGGAGUGGGUGGCUUUUCUUCUGCUUACUUAAAUGUCUUCCUUUUAAUGCAUGGAGGGAUGACUCCUCCUCUCUUUCCUUGGUGUUUUUUUUUUUUUUUUUUUUUUUGGAGGAGGAAGAUUUAUUUUAUACCUUCUUUGUCACCACUUCAGGGCCUGGGAAUGUGAAGUUGUAGUUGUAAGUAGAAACAUUUAUUUAGCCAUUAAAAAUGCAGUGCCUCUUUUCAUAACUGUAAAGAAUUUACAUUGCUUCAGCUGAUGAGCCUUACCAUAUAUCCCCUAGGUCUAUCUCUUGUCCUUGGUAGUGGCUGUUCCUAUGUUACAGGUGGGAACUGAAGCCUGAGGGGUUACCUGGCUUGACAGAGAUUGAAAAUCUGUUAUGGGCCCACCUUAGUACUUGAAGUCUGCCAGCCUAACCUUCCAGGAUUUAAGUGUAUGAACUAUGUAAAAUGAUAGACCUUUUAAGAAGGUUUUAUUUUAGUUUUAUUAUUUCUGUGUGUAUGUGUGUGGGUAUGUGCAUGUGAACGUAAGCGCCCAUGGAAUCUAGAAAAGAGCAGUGAAUCCCCGUGAGCUGGAGUUACAGGUGGAUGCGAAUUUCCUGACUUGGGUGUUAGGACCUAAAAUUGGGUCUUUUGCCAUAGCAGUAUAAGUUUUUAACCUUUGAGCCAUUUUUCCAGCCCCCAGCCCUUUUUGAGAUAGAGCCUCAUGUUGAUGUCCAACCUGUUUUGUAGCCAAGCUAGCCUUAAACUCCUGAACCCUGAUUCUCUUGCCUUUCCUUCCCACGUGCUAAGACUAUAGGUGCAUAACAACACAUUCAGUUGGAAGGAUGGCUUUUCUUAAAAAGAUUUGGAGGAAGAAAAUAACCAAAAACCAACUGUUGACAGCUACUUGAAUUCUUAUGCUUAGUAAACCUUUGUCAAAGCAUUGACUACUAAAACCACUUGGAGAAAUUGAUUGAAUAAGUGAACGUUUAACAGUGUAGCACUUGCUCAUUUGUCCUUAAAACUUGGAAUAGGUGAAACUGGAUAGGAAGUGAGGGAGGGAGUAAUGACUGACC
This 4293-nucleotide long non-coding RNA is filed under the name Mus musculus (house mouse). RNAcentral describes it as "long non-coding RNA chrX:159698005-159702298". The record is from RNAcentral. Lineage: Eukaryota; Metazoa; Chordata; Mammalia; Rodentia; Muridae.